Non-coding RNA from Misgurnus anguillicaudatus (oriental weatherfish), 1696 nucleotides. Lineage: Eukaryota; Metazoa; Chordata; Actinopteri; Cypriniformes; Cobitidae. The record is from RefSeq and is a predicted model, not a curated record.
UGAUGGUGGUCCAGAUCCAGGUUCAGAGAGAUCCUUGAAUGGAGGCACAGAAACAAGCACACACACUGAUCCGAACUCAGAUCCACCUACUGGUAAAUACUUAAACGUACACUUUACCUAUAAAUGAUAAAGUAGUUCUUGUCCCAAUGCUGUUUAGAGUGGAUUGGUGUCAUUAGUCUCUUUAACAAUUAACUGACAUUACGCUAUCAUUUUAUUACAUGGCACACAAAAUAAAUAAAUAGACAUGAAAUUCUGAUUUAAAUUCAAAAUAAAGCCAUUUUAGUUCCUUAUAGAUACUAAGUGAAUAACUUACAUUUCUGUAUGUUUUUCACACACAGCUAUUAUAGGAAUAAAAUGCAUUAGUUGUAUAUAUUGCUUUUUUGUAUUUUAGGAGUUUGACAGACAUUGCCCUACAAACUGUACACAGACAAUUAUUCUUGUUAUUCUUCUUUUGAGUUUCAAGCAAUAGUGGAAUAUGUUAUUAAGUGUUCCUCUAGCUCAAUUGGUAGAUCAUUGAGUUAGCAGUUCAAAAGGUUAUGGGUUUUAUUCCCAGGAAACACACAUGUUGACAUACUUAUAUAAAAAUUAAUAGCUUAAAUGCACUGUAAGUUUCUUUUGAUUAGUGUCUGUCCAAAAGUACAUAAUGAUGACAGUUAAAUUUUUUAUGUGGACUAAUAUUAGAUCAGGGUGCAAAGGAGUCUACAAAACCAGAACAUGAUGCAGAGAGGUGUGUGGAAGGAGGAAUAGCGGUAUCUGUAGUCAAAGGUGUUUGCCCACAGAAUGAGGUGUUUUAUGUAUCAUCUAAUGUUGUCACCAUCUUACCAUCAUUGUAUGUUCCACGCCUGCCAUUUUUGGAUGAGUCACUUAUCAAUUACAAGGAACGGGACCUCUUGGGUGAAGGAUCAUUUGGAAAGGUGUAUAGAGGUUCUUUCCAGGGAACCCCAGCUGCCAUAAAGAGGAUUCCAUAUGGCAUAGCAGGACUUGAAGAUCGGGACAUACAGCAUGAGAUUCUCGUCUCACUGCGACUGAGCCAUCCCAAUAUUGUUCGACUCAUGGCAGCAGCCCGCACUGAAAACACCUUUUUGCUGGCCAAUGAAUACGUUCAUGGCACAAUCCUGGAUCAUGUGAUACACAAUGGCAAUGCUUGUGUUAAGUUUGAAGGAAACGACAGUCAUUUUGUUGCCCUUGACAUAUCCAUGGCCGUUGAAUACAUUUUCAAAAAAUGUCAUUCAUCAGGAUCUAAAGCCUGAAAAUAUUUUGAUUGACAGAUUCUCUAAAAAAGCUGUACUUACUGACUGGGGACUAGCCAACAUAAGGGACACUGUUGUACUACGACAAGGAAGCAGAGUUACCGAAGGCAGGUUAGGACCAAUGGGUGGAACUUUUCUUUACAUGGCUCCAGAGUGUCUUAUUGAGUUUGAAGAGGCUUCUAGAAGCUCUGACAUCUGGUCUUUGGGAGCAACAUACCUUGAACUUUUCACAAAGUUAAAGCCCUGGACAGUAAAAAAACAAAAGCAGUUGUCUGGCCUAAUGACCAAAAAUGCACAGCCACAUGCUCUUGAACAUCUGUGUGAAAAAUACAGUUUCAUUGCCAUGAUGCUACACUAUGACCCAGCAUCAAGACCUGAAGCUUCAUCAGUUGUUCUCUCUCUAAAAAAAGUUGAAGGGCCAGAUUAUCUGAGUCGUUAUGGUUACA